AUCUAGCUGAUGAGUCUCAAAUAGGACGAAACGCGUGUCAAACUAGAU
Non-coding RNA from Schistosoma mattheei, 48 nucleotides. The record is from Rfam. Lineage: Eukaryota; Metazoa; Platyhelminthes; Trematoda; Strigeidida; Schistosomatidae.